GUUGGAAACAACCCUCAAUGCAACAGUGUUGGAAGGUGGAGACUUUGGGGAGGAGUUUAGGUCAUAAAGGCUUUGCCCUCAUGAAUGGAUUAAUGCCACUACAAAAAGGGUUUGCAGGAGUAGGCCCACUCUCUCUUGUUCUUCUGCCUUCUGACAGGUUCAUUGCUAAGGAAUGGAUUGAAUCAGUACCUAAACCAGCUGACAGCUGCCAUGCUGUAAGAUGGUCCACAAGGCUUUUGGCCAACAACCAAUGAUGGAUUGAGGCCUUCAGUCCAACAACCCACAAGGAACUCAAUCCUGCCAAUGACUAUGUGAACCUGGAAGCAGACCUAUCCUCAGUUGAGCCUCUAGAUGAGAACCCGCCUAUGGCUGACACCUUGAUUUUGCAGCCUUGCAGAGGAUUCAGCUAAGCUGUGCCCAGACUUCUGACCCACAGAAACUGGAUGAAUAAAGAAUGCAUCUUUUGCCAAGUACUGGGUAGAAUUUCCUUGGAGAGACUACAGAAGUGUGAGCAAUUUGGCUCUGUUCAUUACAAACAGGAAAAAUGACCUUGAAUGAAUGAAGUCAUAGUUUGAAGGAAAAACACCCCACAGAUAGAGUGGAGUAGAAAUGAUGAUUCAGUUGGGUUUUGUUUUGUUCCCUUCAGUAAGAUGAAAUAAUUUCAGAAGAAAAACAGAAUGCUGAAAUAGAGGAAUCAAAGGUCAUCUUUUGAGUGUCUAUGGCAGACAUAUGAAGACCACAACUCCCUCCUUGAUGGAACAGGACCCUCGCCCCAGAGUGAGAAAACUGACGCUCAGGCAUCGAUUAGGCAGGGAUGACUAUAAUGUGUUCUCUGCAGUCAGGUGAAGGACUGGUACGCAAUACUAAGUAGAACUGGGAGUAGAGUAUAACCAUCAAUAGCUAUUGUUUGCUACGCUACUUGCUUUUUAUAAAACAUUACCAGUCCUGAGAAGUAUUAGCUGGAGAGUGUGAAGAAAGAACAUUUCAUCAUCUUGCCCAAAUUCACAAAACAAUUAUCCACCUCGCCACACAAUGAAAUCACCAUCUAGUACUUAGUGUGAGCAGUAGAAUUAUACCAACGACAGAGGCGAAAGCAGCAUCCAGCACUGGCUUUGGAUACUGUUCGUAGGUCUAUGGAGGCCCUGAAAAGCUAACAAGAACUAAGCUGAAGAAUCUUCCACUGCUCGUGAAGCUGGCUUUAGGAGUCAGGAGGGAACUAUGCGGUACAAGAACACCUGCUGGAGAACAGCAGGGUAUCAAUAAUAAAUGCUAACCUUUAAAAAGGGGAUUCUUUUGAACACUGACAAGGGCCCUGCAUCUUUUUCUUCUCAUCAGGUGGUUUCACAGAGGAAAGAUUUAGGAUGUGAUUAGAGGACUGAAACAGCCAUGGGCCAUCUCUCCAGAGCGCAGCAGACUUCUAACACAAGGAGGAACUACCACCCUAGCCUGACUUUUGGUUGUCUCCAACUAGUUGAGGAUAUGCUUUCGAGAGCACAUCAACUUUGGUGCAAUGUUGGGGGUGGAAGGGGAGGUUUUGUAUCUGUUUUACAAUUUAGACACACACACACAAGAUUUGAGUUAGAGCACAGAGUAUGCUUAAAACAUGGCAUAGAGUCAUAAGAUGAAACAAAGCCUGCCUCCACUUGUUACUGCUUCCUUUUUGGUGUGUAUGAUCUAUUUCUUCCUAUUUUGUGGAAGCUUGUCAGUCCUCAAACUGGAAGGCUCAAAUACAAUAUUUCAAACUGGCACCAGAUUCAUGUAACCCUAUAGGGCAUGCCAGAAUUCUGGGCAAUCUUUUAAGGAUACAUAGUCCACAGAAUGAAUAAAACCAGCAUCUAUUGCCAGGGCAAAAUUUAGUAUGGGUUUUAGGGGUCAUUGGCUAAAAACAAAAUGCCAAUAUGCUGGCUGAAUCAACUGGGUUUUAUUCAUUUUACAUUCCCAGCAUUAAGCAUAGCUAUUACUAGGCAUUGGGUCAGUUUCAUGGCUGAAGCCUGGUAUUAUCUGGCAUUUCUUUUACUUGAGAAAAGGGAAACAUCUUGAGGACUUGAUUUAAUGUGAAAGAAAUGUAAUUUAAAGGAACUAAAAGGAGAAUGAUUAUCAUUGUUGUUUGCUAACACAUAAAGUAUAGUGAGUUACAUACCAGAAAUUUACUGGUAAAACCAUUUUGUAGGUUAAAAAAAUCAAGUGUAUGUAAGUCACAAUCUCAAAUAUUACAUUCUCACUAACAUCUGUAUAAAAAGAUCUGUCCCCAUAAGAAAAUAAAUUCUUGAACCACAGGGAAACCAAUUUAUCAUUCUGGCUCAUUCUUUUUCCCCUUACCUAAUUUGCUCCCAUUUCUGAACCUCAUUUUCUCUAGUUUGCUCCAAAGCUAUUCUGCUUUUAAUAUCUCACAAGACCUGGAUUGUUUCCUGUGUGCACAACAGGCUUUUAAAAUACAUGGGCUUAACCUGCUACCCAGGUGCACCCUUUUCUCAACAUUUCUCCAUCUCGCA
This 2492-nucleotide long non-coding RNA is filed under the name Homo sapiens (human). Its description in RNAcentral is "HSALNT0040720". Lineage: Eukaryota; Metazoa; Chordata; Mammalia; Primates; Hominidae. The record is from RNAcentral.